UUUUUUUUUCGUGUGGCCGUCCGUCUGUUAUUCAGUAUUCGUACGAGAACACAUAUGAAACUUUGCUUUCGACAAUUUUGAAUAAAACUUAACUAUUCACAUUUAUUUAGGGGGUCCAUUAAACAGAGGAAGUUCUCUUUGUAUUGUGAAUCUUUUAUGAUAUCGGAAAUUCGUUACCGGCUAAAUCAGCGGUUGGGUCAUUUUUUUAACGUCUCCCGGCCGAUCGUACGAGAACAUUAUGGUCAAUGCCUUAGUAGUUAAACACUCCCAUUCGUAGAAACAGACACUUUCUAAACUAAGUGUAUACUAGUUUAGAAAGAACCUGGUUGUAG
This 332-nucleotide long non-coding RNA is filed under the name Mytilus galloprovincialis (Mediterranean mussel). The record is from RNAcentral. Lineage: Eukaryota; Metazoa; Mollusca; Bivalvia; Mytilida; Mytilidae.